AGCCUGAGAGGUGAUGCGUAGCCGAUUGAGGCGAAUUCAGUGAUCCUAUGCUGCCGAGAAAAGCCUCUAGUGAGUUGGUACACGGCCCGUACCCCAAACCGACACAGGUGGUCAGGUAGAGAAUACUAAGGCGAUCGAGAUAACUGUGGUUAAGGAACUCGGCAAAAUACCUCCGUAACUUCGGGAGAAGGAGGGCCCGGUCUGGUGAACACCCUUGCGGUGGGAGCUGGGUUGGGUCGCAGAGACCAGUGAGAAGCGACUGUUUACUAAAAACACAGGUCCGUGCGAAGUCGUAAGACGAUGUAUACGGACUGACGCCUGCCCGGUGCCGGAAGGUUAAGAGGACCGGUUAGCGCUUCGGCGCGAAGCUGAGAAUUUAAGCCCCGGUAAACGGCGGUGGUAACUAUAACCAUCCUAAGGUAGCGAAAUUCCUUGUCGGGUAAGUUCCGACCUGCACGAAUGGCGUAACGACUUCUCAGCUGUCUCAACCACAGACUCGGCGAAAUUGCAGUACGAGUAAAGAUGCUCGUUACGCGCGGCAGGACGAAAAGACCCCGGGACCUUCACUAUAGCUUGGUAUUGGUGUUCGGUACGGUUUGUGUAGGAUAGGUGGGAGACUGUGAGACAUGCACGCCAGUGUGUGUGGAGUCGUCGUUGAAAUACCACUCUGAUCGUAUUGGACCUCUAACCUCGGACCCUGAUCGGGUUCAGGGACAGUGCCUGGUGGGUAGUUUAACUGGGGCGGUUGCCUCCCAAAAUGUAACGGAGGCGCCCAAAGGUUCCCUCAGCCUGGUUGGCAAUCAGGUGUUGAGUGCAAGUGCACAAGGGAGCUUGACUGUGAGACCGACAGGUCGAGCAGGGACGAAAGUCGGGACUAGUGAUCCGGCACCGGCAAGUGGAAGCGGUGUCGCUCAACGGAUAAAAGGUACCCCGGGGAUAACAGGCUGAUCUUCCCCAAGAGUCCAUAUCGACGGGAUGGUUUGGCACCUCGAUGUCGGCUCGUCGCAUCCUGGGGCUGGAGUAGGUCCCAAGGGUUGGGCUGUUCGCCCAUUAAAGCGGCACGCGAGCUGGGUUUAGAACGUCGUGAGACAGUUCGGUCUCUAUCCGCCGCGCGCGUUAGAAACUUGAGGAAGGCUGUCCCUAGUACGAGAGGACCGGGACGGACGAACCUCUGGUGUGCCAGUUGUUCCGCCAGGAGCACGGCUGGUUGGCCACGUUCGGAAGGGAUAACCGCUGAAAGCAUCUAAGCGGGAAGCCUGUUCCAAGAUGAGGUUUCUCACCCCCUCGAGGGGGUAAGGCCCCCAACAGACCAUUGGGUUGAUAGGCCAGAACUGGAA
This 1337-nucleotide ribosomal RNA is filed under the name Nocardia concava NBRC 100430. RNAcentral's name for it is "bacterial LSU rRNA". It matches the Rfam family "Bacterial large subunit ribosomal RNA", at positions 1553 to 2872 of the family's 2925-position model. Lineage: Bacteria; Bacillati; Actinomycetota; Actinomycetes; Mycobacteriales; Nocardiaceae. The record is from RNAcentral.